RNAcentral lists this ribosomal RNA (564 nucleotides) under Triticum aestivum (bread wheat). Its description in RNAcentral is "partial small subunit ribosomal RNA". The record is from RNAcentral. Lineage: Eukaryota; Viridiplantae; Streptophyta; Magnoliopsida; Poales; Poaceae.
AUGGCCGCCGCCUGCCGCGCCCUGCUGCUCCUCCUCGCCGCCGCCGCGGUGGCCCUCCUCGCGGCGCCCCCGGCGGCCGCCGCCCGCCCCUGCGGCCGCGCGCAGACGCUGCUCAUCUCCUUCUCCUCCUUCUCCCGCCCCAACCCGGACCCGGCCGACCCCUCGCCGCUCACCACCACCGUCGUCACCGUCCUCCGCGUCCGCCGCCUCGGCCCGCACCGCUUCCACGCCCACGACCAGAACCACCUCCAGAUCCGCCGCCCCGCCGAGUCCCUCCCCGCCGUCGGCACCCCCGAGACCGACGCCGACGCCGCCUCCUCCUUCCAGGAGCGCGCCAAGGACAUCCUCGUCGUCGUCUCGGGCCUGCUCUUCGGCUUCGGCUGCGGCGCCCUCACCGCCGCCUCCAUGUACCUCGUCUGGUCCCUCGUCGCCUCCACCGGCGCCGCCAGCCCCUACGAGGAGCUCUACAGCGACGACGAGGACGACGACGGCGCCGAGAGCCCCAAGAAGGCCGGCUACGUCAUCAUCCACGGCGCCGAGGACGUCGUCGCCGGUAAGAACUAA